This 1325-nucleotide long non-coding RNA is filed under the name Anser brachyrhynchus (Pink-footed goose). RNAcentral describes it as "lncRNA (ENSABRG00000012014.1)". Lineage: Eukaryota; Metazoa; Chordata; Aves; Anseriformes; Anatidae. The record is from RNAcentral.
GCUGUCUAGGGAUGGGAGCUGAGUUUGUAAUGCUCCUGAUUUACUAGAAACAAGGGCUAUAUGGAGAAGCUGGAAGGAUCAUGUACUCAUGAUACAGCUUGGAAAACAGUGGACACUCAGAAGUGUAAGAAUUAAAGGUUAGUUCUCAGGUUGCUUAUAGCCUGGGAGGAGCUUCUGCUGAGUGCGGGGAGAGGCAAAAAGGUAGGAUGGCAGAAACUGCUUCCAGCUGGUGUUUGUUUAACAAAGCUUUAGAGGUGAAGGCAGAAGGAAGCCUGGGAGAUGUUUGGGUUUUGUUCAUGCUGGAGAACUGAAGAUUACCGUGUUUAUAUCAUUUGACUAAAAUUAACAUUGACGUUACCAUACGGGCUGGCCCCUUUCCUGCCCCAUCUGUUCUCUCUGGAAGUGUGCCCUUGGCAGUUGGACCUGCUGCAUUAAGUGGGCCUGAGGAGGCAGCCCUGCCCAGGUCGUGCUGGGAUAGCUUCUCCCCCACCAGUCUCUCUUGCUUGCAUGAAGAGGAAGCCUGUAUUGCCUGUAAAGACCAGCUUCAACCACAUACCAAAGGAGAAGUGGAGUUUAUGCUGAGGCCAGCUGCUGGCCGGGAUACCCGUGCUUGAGAGAGAUCUGCAAGAGUUUCUGGAGGGUCCUGAUAACAUGUGAGAGAAUGGUGGCUGACGUUUAAAUGCAGGUUGAACUAAACUGCAGUCUGCUUCAUAGAUGAAGGUCAACCAGCCAUGCCUUAGUCAACUGUGCCUCAUUGAGUUGCUCUGCCUUAUACAGCUGGACUGACCGAGUUUUCUUGAUGCCUGUAACUCACUUCUUCUUCUGCAUAAUUUUGACGUGCAGGAAUCAAGAAGCUAAAGGUCACUGCACAGAAUCUGUCCAUCACACAGACCUUGCCUCAGGAAUGCAGCCACUGGAUCCAUCCUUUGGUGAGCAAUGUAAGCUUGGUCAUUCUGAAUGUCUGUUCUCUCAUCUUGAUGUUUUCCUUUGACAUUAAAGAGCCAAUUGCUGGUAUUUUGCUGGAUUUAGUUUGGAUAGAAUGGAAGCAGUCAGAUUUCAUCCUUUUAUAUAAUUCUAGCCUAGCCCUGGAGACAGCUGUGAAUCCACAGAGGUCUGACUUCUAUUCAUAACUGGUUUCAGUCCUGUGUUGCUUAUUGUGUGUGUCUGAGAUCAGUAAAAAUUAAACAUCGAUUAAAAGUUUUCUGAUGGCAGUAACUGAAAAGGCAAUGGGAUACUCAGAAAUUAUUUUCUACUCCACAGUUUUUUUCAUAAGCUUUUUUCUUAGUAUCUGUUUGCCAUGGGAUCUAUAGCUGCCUGUCUUAUAA